AAUUGCACCCAUGCUUCUAGAUAAUACUCCUACUAACUACUCUCUUACACAAGACAAGUAGCCACCCUACACAUUGACUCUAAUUCCUCCUUGAUUUACUCUUCUUACACAACACUUGGAUUCUAACUUGGACUUGGUGUUUUAGUUAACACAACCAUUCUUGUUGGACCUCCUUAACUACAGAAACACAAAACACUUAUUCAUAUGGGCUUCACCAUCACCGAUGGCCCAACUCACAAAACACAAAUCCAUAUGGUUUGUUGACCUUCUUCUCCACCUUUGACUCCUCUCUUCACGACAUUUCUUCUCCGACAACGUUUUCUUCUUCACGGGAGCUUUGCUUCUUCUUCUUUGUUCUUCGACUUACUGAUUUCUCUUUGUUGCAGAUUUAAUGAAGAACUCAAUUCUCAAUACUCCCUCUUGAGUUCUUUGAUUAUGUCCCCAAUUUCAGCUUAGGGUUUUGAUUCCCGUAGCUCCUUCUUCGCCUCUAUCGGUUCACCUCUUCUCUGUGUGUGAAUCCUUUUACGACAUAGACACAGCUCACUGCCACUGGUGGUUGGCUUCUCCGACGAAAGCUAGAGGUCACAAACUCUCACCGAUCACCUGUCACCGUCACGGUGAAAGUCUCCACCGCCGUCUUCAACCACCACAUCAUCUGAGACUUAAUUCAAGUCUCCCUCUUCGACGAGACCGACACUUCACGUUCGUCUCUUCCCAUUUAUCGAACCACCACCAUCUCUGUUUGGAAACACUUCAAGCUUCCAUGUCUCCUCAAGUCAUCUCUUCUCACUUUUUCUCCGUGACCACCGUCACGUCUCUUGCUUGGCUGACAUUGCAGCCGGCUGCUCCCUUUCUCUUCAGGUCCACUCAAGCUCCUCAAGUCCUUGUUUCACCAUCCAUGAGUCAUCGUCGCUUCUUUCAUGUCGGUUUAGCCGGUGACAGAGUUGCCGUUCUUCUCAUCUCAGGAGAAGGUUGACAUGUCCACCGCUGUAAAGCUGCGACCGUUGCUACAAGAGAGUCGUCAUGGCUGGCUUCCCUUCUAAUCUUCUUCCUUGCCGUCUAGUCACGGCUUCUUCUUCUUGUUUUAGUUGAAGAAUCACUCGGAUCUCCACUUCAUCAAGCAUCUUCACCAAGACACAUCGAACAAGAACAUAACUCUCCUUCCCCUUCUUCACACCGUUGUCUUCAUUGCUCUUGUCCAGAAGAUCUCCUUGUCUCCAUGGACGCACCUGAAGCCCUCCUUCUCUAAGGCUUCUUCACAUCAUGUGGCACAGGCUCUGAUACCAUGUUGACAUUUUGGGACCUCACUUGUUGAAGUCAAUUUGUUUUCACACACUCUCUUAUGCUCUGUUUCUAUUCUCUGUUUUAACAGAAGCAUAGAGUUACUCUCUCUAUCUCUCUUGUGUUUGUUUUUCUUCACACCAAGAGAGAAGAGAGAAACUUUAAUUGUCUACAUUGCAUUCACUUAGAUUAAUUCUUACAAGAUCACACACA
Non-coding RNA from Camelina sativa (false flax), 1494 nucleotides. The record is from RefSeq and is a predicted model, not a curated record. Lineage: Eukaryota; Viridiplantae; Streptophyta; Magnoliopsida; Brassicales; Brassicaceae.